Molecule: ribosomal RNA, 253 nt
Filed under: uncultured bacterium
Lineage: Bacteria
Description: partial 16S ribosomal RNA
Rfam family: Bacterial small subunit ribosomal RNA
Source: RNAcentral
UACGUAGGGGUCUAGCGUUGUCCGGAUUUAUUGGGCGUAAAGCGCUCGCAGGUGGUUCGUCGCGUCGUGCGUGAAAGACCCCGGCUCAACUGGGGGAGGUCGUGCGAUACGGGCGAACUGGAGGCCAGUAGGGGGAUGCGGAAUUCCGGGUGUAGCGGUGAAAUGCGCAGAUAUCAGGAGGAACACCGGUGGCGAAGGCGGUUCUCUGGGCAUGUCCUGACGCCGAGGAGCGAAAGUGUGGGGAGCGAACAGG